UACCAGCACCCCGAGUGGUCGGGACGAUUAUUGGGCCUAAAGCAUCCGUAGCCGGUUUUACAAGUCCUCCGUUAAAUCCAACUGCUUAACAGAUGGGCUGCGGAGGAUACUAUGGAGCUAGGAGGCGGGAGAGGCAAGCGGUACUUAGUGGGUAGGGGUAAAAUCCGUUGAUCCAUUGAAGACCACCAGUGGCGAAGGCGGCUCACUGGCCCGGUACUGACGCUGAGGUGCGAAAGCGUGGGGAGCAAACAGG
This 253-nucleotide ribosomal RNA is filed under the name uncultured bacterium. RNAcentral describes it as "partial 16S ribosomal RNA". It matches the Rfam family "Archaeal small subunit ribosomal RNA", at positions 474 to 727 of the family's 1478-position model. The record is from RNAcentral.